RNAcentral lists this ribosomal RNA (497 nucleotides) under uncultured bacterium. RNAcentral's name for it is "partial 16S ribosomal RNA". It matches the Rfam family "Bacterial small subunit ribosomal RNA", at positions 28 to 507 of the family's 1533-position model. The record is from RNAcentral.
GAUGGACGCUGGCGGCGUGCCUAAUACAUGCAAGUCGAGCGAACAGAUGAGGAGCUUGCUCCUCUGACGUUAGCGGCGGACGGGUGAGUAACACGUGGAUAACCUACCUAUAAGACUGGGAUAACUUCGGGAAACCGGAGCUAAUACCGGAUAAUAUAUUGAACCGCAUGGUUCAAUAGUGAAAGACGGUUUUGCUGUCACUUAUAGAUGGAUCCGCGCCGCAUUAGCUAGUUGGUAAGGUAACGGCUUACCAAGGCAACGAUGCGUAGCCGACCUGAGAGGGUGAUCGGCCACACUGGAACUGGGACACGGUCCAGACUCCUACGGGAGGCAGCAGUAGGGAAUCUUCCGCAAUGGGCGAAAGCCUGACGGAGCAACGCCGCGUGAGUGAUGAAGGUCUUCGGAUCGUAAAACUCUGUUAUUAGGGAAGAACAAAUGUGUAAGUAACUAUGCACGUCUUGACGGUACCUAAUCAGAAAGCCACGGCUAACUACGUG